CUCUUACGGUACCGUCAUGGUGCACCGCCGUGUUAAGGNAGUACCAUUUUCGUUCCGUACAAAAGCAGUCUAUACAACCCUGAAGGCCUUCUUGCUGCACAGCGGNAUUGCUAGGAUCANGAGCUUUGCGCCCAUUAGUCCAAAAUUCCCCACUGCUGCCUCCCGUAGGA
This 170-nucleotide ribosomal RNA is filed under the name uncultured bacterium. RNAcentral describes it as "partial 16S ribosomal RNA". The record is from RNAcentral.